GUGUUGUUUGGAAGGAGAGCAAGUUAGCACUCCCCUAGACAAGGAUGGAACACACAAAUGAGCGGCUAGGCACAAGACAAUGCCGUUCUCAAGUUUUUUU
Molecule: small nuclear RNA, 100 nt
Organism: Drosophila busckii
Lineage: Eukaryota; Metazoa; Arthropoda; Insecta; Diptera; Drosophilidae
Source: RefSeq, a predicted model, not a curated record